UACGAGGGGUGCAAGCGUUGCUCGGAAUUAUUGGGCGUAAAGGGUAGGUAGGUGGUCUCAUUUGUCUGGGGUGAAAGCCCGGAGCUUAACUCCGGAAGUGCCUCAGAAACGGUGAGACUCGAGUACUGGAGAGGGUCGUGGAAUUCCCGGUGUAGCGGUGAAAUGCGCAGAUAUCAGGAAGAACACCCGUGGCGAAAGCGGCUCUCUGGAACGGUACUGACGCUGAGACGCGAAAGCGUGGGGAGCGAACAGG
Molecule: ribosomal RNA, 253 nt
Filed under: uncultured bacterium
Lineage: Bacteria
Description: partial 16S ribosomal RNA
Rfam family: Bacterial small subunit ribosomal RNA
Source: RNAcentral